Molecule: ribosomal RNA, 484 nt
Filed under: uncultured bacterium
Lineage: Bacteria
Description: partial 16S ribosomal RNA
Rfam family: Bacterial small subunit ribosomal RNA
Source: RNAcentral
AUUGAACGCUGGCGGCAGGCCUAACACAUGCAAGUCGAGCGGAUGAAGGGAGCUUGCUCCUGGAUUCAGCGGCGGACGGGUGAGUAAUGCCUAGGAAUCUGCCUGGUAGUGGGGGAUAACGUCCGGAAACGGGCGCUAAUACCGCAUACGUCCUGAGGGAGAAAGUGGGGGAUCUUCGGACCUCACGCUAUCAGAUGAGCCUAGGUCGGAUUAGCUAGUUGGUGGGGUAAAGGCCUACCAAGGCGACGAUCCGUAACUGGUCUGAGAGGAUGAUCAGUCACAGUGGAAAGGAGAGACGGUCCGGGGGGCAGAGGGGGGCAGCAGUGGGGAAGGUGCAGGAAUGGGGGAGAGCCUGAGGGAGCAGUGCGGGGGGAGUGAGGAGGGUCUUCGGAUCGUAAAACUGUUUGAGGGGGGAAGAGGGGGAGGGGAUGGGACCAUGGGUGUAGUGACGGGACAUGAUCAGGAAGCGACGGCUAAAUACGUG